AAUGACCUGAACAGGUGGAUGGCUGAUGGUGCCUGUGCAGUUAGUGGCAGUCCUCACCCCACAGUCAGUUCUCCUUCUGUACCCAGUUCCUCUGCACCAGUUGUGGUCAUUGGUGACAAAUGAGCCACACAGUCAUCUUUCUUCUUUAUCAGUAACAACCUGGCAAAGAUCUCCUUGCAGAAUCAUCUUGGGGGCAGCUGGGGUAUUAUCAAUUUCCGUAUCCCUGGACCUGGCUUUCUAGGUGGGCUAUGAUAUCAGGACAUGGGAAAGUUGAGAGGCUCUCAGAUCUAAGUUGUGCCUCUGAAGGAUCUGUUGUUAGCAGACAAUUAAUACAGGAGCUCAGAGAUCUCCAAAAUAAUGAAUCAAUCUCUCUCUCUCUCUCUCCACUCCCCCCUCAACUUAUGCGAUACCAGACAUCCAGCCCAAAUCCUCUAAUAGUUGUACUUGGGAAACUGAAGGACUUUCCAGGGCCCCAGGAAUCCUUACUAACUUGUUUUAUUGAAAAAGAGUCUGUGGUUUCAAGCCUGCAGAGCUGUGGCUUAGCAUUCUUGGAGAAGAUCACAGAAAGUUAAGACUAUGAAAGCAUCCAGAAACUGUAAGAUGUUGUAUACACAAUGGGAAAAUUAGCCUGUGAGUUUCCCAGUACCAUGAGGCAUUCCUGAAUAGGGGAAGGGAAAAUGUUUUGUUUUCCCUUCUCCAGUGAGUACUAUGCUGAAGACAGCGAUGUUGUGAAGGACAAACUCCCAAAUGCAACUCAAGAAGUUUUCACAUACAGCUCAAGUGGAAGAAAUCAGUGGCUUGAUGUCCACAAAAGAGCGGAGAGGUGACAACAACUGAACGAUUGUUCUUCAGAACUCAUGCUUGUAGCAGAGGAGUUAAAAUAAUGAUCUCUGGCAAUCUCUUGGAAAGAUGGUAUCAAGUUAGAAGCUCUGGCAAUCUGCAUUGCUUGGUAAAGGCUGGAACUCACAGGCAGAAGCAUUGGCAGGCUCCAUGAAUGCCCAGUGCAAAGUGGUCUGUGCCAGGGCAGACCUGAACAUGCUGCGGAGUUAUACUCUAGAACAGGGGUCCCCCACUCCCACGCCACUGACUGGUCCCAGGCCAUGUCCUAUUAGGAACCGGGCCAUACAGCAAGUAAGCAGCGGGCAAGCAACGGAAGCUUCACCUGUAUUUAUAGCCACUCCCUAUCACUCGCACUACCACCGGAGCUCCAUCUCCUGUCAGAUCCAAGGUGGCAUUAGAUUCUCAUAGGAGUGUGACCCCCUAUUGUGAACUGUGCCUUUGAAGGAUCAAGGUUGCAUGCUCCUUAUGGAAAUCUAAUGCCUGAUAAUCUGUUACUGUCUUCGAUCAACCCUGGAUGGGACCAUCUAAUUGCAGGAAAACAAGCUCAGG
This 1389-nucleotide long non-coding RNA is filed under the name Callithrix jacchus (white-tufted-ear marmoset). Its description in RNAcentral is "lncRNA (ENSCJAG00000082265.1)". The record is from RNAcentral. Lineage: Eukaryota; Metazoa; Chordata; Mammalia; Primates; Cebidae.